UACGAAGGGAGCUAGCGUUGUUCGGAAUCACUGGGCGUAAAGCGCACGUAGGCGGACUUGUCAGUCAGGGGUGAAAUCCCGGGGCUCAACCUCGGAACUGCCUUUAAAACUGCAUCGCUUGAAUCCGGGAGAGGUGAGUGGAAUUCCGAGUGUAGAGGUGAAAUUCGUAGAUAUUCGGAAGAACACCAGUGGCGAAGGCGGCUCACUGGACCGGCAUUGACGCUGAGGUGCGAAAGCGUGGGGAGCAAACAGG
RNAcentral lists this ribosomal RNA (253 nucleotides) under uncultured prokaryote. Its description in RNAcentral is "partial 16S ribosomal RNA". It matches the Rfam family "Bacterial small subunit ribosomal RNA", at positions 524 to 776 of the family's 1533-position model. The record is from RNAcentral.